CUCGAAAAUGAAAUUUUUCAGAAAACACAAGCAAUAUCAUUUAAUAAUCACUGUCGAAUAUUAUAUAAAAUAAUAAAAAUAUAUUGAUUAAUUAAUUAAAUAUAAAAAAUAAUUUAACUUUUUAAUUAGUAAGUAAAUUAUUUUAGGUAGAUAACUAUAAAAAAAAUUAAUUAGAUUAAUAGAAUAUUAAUGGUUCAUCAAUAUAAAUAUUAGCUUAUGGAUAAAUACAUUAAAUUACUAAUAAUUAACUAUAAAUAAUAAAUUUAUUAAUUAUUUUAUUAUUUAAGCAAUAAAUAAUGAUUUAGAUAUAUUUAUUGGAUUAAUAAAUUAUUUAAUAUUAUAAUUAAAAUUAAAUUUAGACUUUAAUUAUCCUGGUUUUCACCUAGGAAUAAACUUGUUUUAGAAAAAAAAUGCAGUUCCAGUCUUAUACCAGCUUGUUCUAGAAAAUUAAGAAUUACUAUUUUCUGUUUGGGAACAAAAAGAGGAACAAGGGCUU
Molecule: long non-coding RNA, 496 nt
Filed under: Ananas comosus (pineapple)
Lineage: Eukaryota; Viridiplantae; Streptophyta; Magnoliopsida; Poales; Bromeliaceae
Description: long non-coding RNA (ACOM_LNC024305)
Source: RNAcentral